GGACGAACGCUGGCGGCGUGCCUAAUACAUGCAAGUAGAACGCACAGUUUAUACCGUAGCUUGCUACACCAUAGACUGUGAGUUGCGAACGGGUGAGUAGCGCGUAGGUAACCUGCCUGGUAGCGGGGGAUAACUAUUGGAAACGAUAGCUAAUACCGCAUAAUAUUGAUUAUUGCAUGAUAAUUGAUUGAAAGAUGCUAUUGCAUCACUACCAGAUGGACCUGCGUUGUAUUAGCUAGUAGGUGAGGUAACGGCUCACCUAGGCGACGAUACAUAGCCGACCUGAGAGGGUGAUCGGCCACACUGGGACUGAGACACGGCCCAGACUCCUACGGGAGGCAGCAGUAGGGAAUCUUCGGCAAUGGACGAAAGUCUGACCGAGCAACGCCGCGUGAGUGAAGAAGGUUUUCGGAUCGUAAAGCUCUGUUGUAAGAGAAGAACGGGUGUGAGAGUGGAAAGUUCACACUGUGACGGUAUCUUACCAGAAAGGGACGGCUAACUACGUG
Molecule: ribosomal RNA, 506 nt
Filed under: uncultured bacterium
Lineage: Bacteria
Description: partial 16S ribosomal RNA
Rfam family: Bacterial small subunit ribosomal RNA
Source: RNAcentral